ACGAACGCUGGCGGCGUGCUUAACACAUGCAAGUCGAACGGGUCUGCCCUGUUUUUUGCGGGGUGGGUCAGUGGCGAACGGGUGAGUAACACGUGAGUAACCUGCCCCUCACUUCUGGAUAACCGCUUGAAAGGGUGGCUAAUACGGGGUGUUCUGGCUGUGCCGCAUGGUGUGGCUGGGAAAGAUUCACUUUUGUGGUGUUUUGGUGGGGGAUGGGCUCGCGGCCUAUCAGCUUGUUGGUGGGGUGAUGGCCUGCCAAGGCUUUGACGGGUAGCCGGCCUGGGAGGGUGGGCGGUCACACUGGGGCUGAGAUACGGCCCAGACUCCUGCGGGAGGCAGCAGUGGGGGGUAUUGCACAAUGGGCGGAAGCCUGAUGCAGCGACGUCGCGUGAGGGAUGGAGGCCUUCGGGUUGUGAACCUCUUUCGCCGGUGAAGAAGGUCCUGCUCUUUGUGGUGGGGUUGACGGUAGCCGGGUUAUGAAGCGCCGGCUAACUACGUG
RNAcentral lists this ribosomal RNA (499 nucleotides) under uncultured bacterium. Its description in RNAcentral is "partial 16S ribosomal RNA". It matches the Rfam family "Bacterial small subunit ribosomal RNA", at positions 29 to 507 of the family's 1533-position model. The record is from RNAcentral.